This 23-nucleotide non-coding RNA is filed under the name Cricetulus griseus (Chinese hamster). Lineage: Eukaryota; Metazoa; Chordata; Mammalia; Rodentia; Cricetidae. The record is from RNAcentral.
GGUGCUGACGGUGGGGGUUAAGC